RNAcentral lists this ribosomal RNA (499 nucleotides) under uncultured Glomeromycotina. Its description in RNAcentral is "partial small subunit ribosomal RNA". It matches the Rfam family "Eukaryotic small subunit ribosomal RNA", at positions 591 to 1092 of the family's 1831-position model. The record is from RNAcentral. Lineage: Eukaryota; Fungi; Glomeromycota.
CCAAUAGCGUAUAUUAAAGUUGCUGCAGUUAAAAAGCUCGUAGUUGAAUUUCGGGACCAAUAUGUCGGUCGUGCCUCGGUACGUACUGGCAUCGUUGGUUUCUCCCUUCUGAAGAACCAUGAUGUCAUUCAUUUGGUGUCGUGGGGAAUCAGGACUGUUACUUUGAAAAAAUUAGAGUGUUUAAAGCAGGCUCACGCUUGAAUACAUUAGCAUGGAAUAAUGAAAUAGGACGUUUGAUUCUAUUUUGUUGGUUUCUAGGAUCGACGUAAUGAUUAAUAGGGAUAGUUGGGGGCAUUAGUAUUCAAUUGUCAGAGGUGAAAUUCUUGGAUUUAUUGAAGACUAACUACUGCGACAGCAUUUGCCAAGGAUGUUUUCAUUAAUCAAGAACGAAAGUUAGGGGAUCGAAGACGUUCAGAUACCGUCGUAGUCUUAACCAUAAACUAUGCCGACUAGGGAUCGGAUGAUGUUAAUUUUUUAAUGACUCAUUCGGCGCCUUACG